Molecule: non-coding RNA, 484 nt
Organism: Vicugna pacos (alpaca)
Lineage: Eukaryota; Metazoa; Chordata; Mammalia; Artiodactyla; Camelidae
Source: the annotation of a RefSeq genome assembly
CCCCAGCGCACAGCCCUCACCAUGGACUGGAGCUGGGGAGCCCUCUUCCUGGUGGCAGUGGCUGCAGGUGCCCACUCGCAGGUCCAGCUGGUGCAGUCAGGGGCUGAGCUGAGAAACCCUGGGGCAUCAGUGAAGGUCUCCUGCAAGGCUUCUGGAUACACCUUCACCAGCUACUACAUAGACUGGGUGCGACAGGCCCCUGGACAAGGGCUUGAGUGGAUGGGAAGAAUUGACCCUGAAGAUGGUGGCACAAAGUAUGCACAAAAGUUCCAGGGCAGAGUCACCUUCACUGCAGACACGUCCACCAGCACAGCCUACGUGGAGCUGAGCAGUCUGAGAUCUGAGGACACGGCCGUGUAUUACUGUGCGAGAAACACAGUGUGACACACCCACAUCCUGAGUGUGACAGAAACCCUGAGGGACUGGGAGGCUGGGCUGGGAUGAGAUGACGACAAAGCCAUUUAGGUGGCUUUUGCCAUAGAAA